Molecule: long non-coding RNA, 217 nt
Filed under: Gossypium barbadense (sea-island cotton)
Lineage: Eukaryota; Viridiplantae; Streptophyta; Magnoliopsida; Malvales; Malvaceae
Description: long non-coding RNA (GBAR_LNC003891)
Source: RNAcentral
CCUUCUCUAAUAUCUCAACUGUAUAACUCCAGCUGAGCAGCUUCCAAUUCUUUCUUUUUAUCCUGCACCUUUUCUGAUAAAUCUCCAUAGCACCGUUUAUUGAAAUCUCUAAGCACAUGCUUCAAUCUUUUUAGCUUUAGGAAACUCACCUUCAUAGCAGUCCCCUCCACUGGCUCACUCCAAAAUUUCUCCACCAUUGUCAGAAAUUCUGGAUGAC